GAUCAACGCUGGCGGCGUGCUUAACACAUGCAAGUCGAACGAAGUUUUUCUUUCGGGAGGAACUUAGUGGCGGACGGGUGAGUAACGCGUGGGUAACCUGCCCUGUACAGGGGGACAACAGCUGGAAACGGCUGCUAAUACCGCAUAAGCCCUUAGCACUGCAUGGUGCAUAGGGAAAAGGAGCAAUCCGGUACAGGAUGGACCCGCGUCUGAUUAGCCAGUUGGCAGGGUAACGGCCUACCAAAGCGACGAUCAGUAGCCGAUCUGAGAGGAUGUACGGCCACAUUGGGACUGAGACACGGCCCAGACUCCUACGGGAAGCAGCAGUGGGGAAUAUUGCACAAUGGAGGAAACUCUGAUGCAGCGACGCCGCGUGAGUGAAGAAGUAUUUCGGUAUGUAAAGCUCUAUCAGCAGGAAAGAAAAUGACGGUACCUGACUAAGAAGCACCGGCUAAAUACGUG
This 462-nucleotide ribosomal RNA is filed under the name uncultured bacterium. RNAcentral's name for it is "partial 16S ribosomal RNA". It matches the Rfam family "Bacterial small subunit ribosomal RNA", at positions 28 to 507 of the family's 1533-position model. The record is from RNAcentral.